This 1478-nucleotide ribosomal RNA is filed under the name Salmonella enterica subsp. enterica serovar Enteritidis. RNAcentral describes it as "partial 23S ribosomal RNA". It matches the Rfam family "Bacterial large subunit ribosomal RNA", at positions 1 to 1516 of the family's 2925-position model. Lineage: Bacteria; Pseudomonadati; Pseudomonadota; Gammaproteobacteria; Enterobacterales; Enterobacteriaceae. The record is from RNAcentral.
GGGUUGUGAGGUUAAGCGACUAAGCGUACACGGUGGAUGCCCUGGCAGUCAGAGGCGAUGAAGGGCGUGCUAAUCUGCGAUAAGCGCCGGUAAGGUGAUAUGAACCGUUAUAACCGGCGAUACCCGAAUGGGGAAACCCAGUGUGACUCGUCACACUAUCAUUAACUGAAUCCAUAGGUUAAUGAGGCGAACCGGGGGAACUGAAACAUCUAAGUACCCCGAGGAAAAGAAAUCAACCGAGAUUCCCCCAGUAGCGGCGAGCGAACGGGGAGGAGCCCAGAGCCUGAAUCAGCAUGUGUGUUAGUGGAAGCGUCUGGAAAGGCGCGCGAUACAGGGUGACAGCCCCGUACACAAAAGCGCAUGUGCUGUGAGCUCGAUGAGUAGGGCGGGACACGUGGUAUCCUGUCUGAAUAUGGGGGGACCAUCCUCCAAGGCUAAAUACUCCUGACUGACCGAUAGUGAACCAGUACCGUGAGGGAAAGGCGAAAAGAACCCCGGCGAGGGGAGUGAAAAAGAACCUGAAACCGUGUACGUACAAGCAGUGGGAGCACCCUUUGGGUGUGACUGCGUACCUUUUGUAUAAUGGGUCAGCGACUUAUAUUCUGUAGCAAGGUUAACCGAAUAGGGGAGCCGGAGGGAAACCGAGUCUUAACCGGGCGUUAAGUUGCAGGGUAUAGACCCGAAACCCGGUGAUCUAGCCAUGGGCAGGUUGAAGGUUGGGUAACACUAACUGGAGGACCGAACCGACUAAUGUUGAAAAAUUAGCGGAUGACCUGUGGCUGGGGGUGAAAGGCCAAUCAAACCGGGAGAUAGCUGGUUCUCCCCGAAAGCUAUUUAGGUAGCGCCUCGUGAAUUCAUCUCCGGGGGUAGAGCACUGUUUCGGCUAGGGGGCCAUCCCGGCUUACCAACCCGAUGCAAACUGCGAAUACCGGAGAAUGUUAUCACGGGAGACACACGGCGGGUGCUAACGUCCGUCGUGAAGAGGGAAACAACCCAGACCGCCAGCUAAGGUCCCAAAGUCAUGGUUAAGUGGGAAACGAUGUGGGAAGGCCCAGACAGCCAGGAUGUUGGCUUAGAAGCAGCCAUCAUUUAAAGAAAGCGUAAUAGCUCACUGGUCGAGUCGGCCUGCGCGGAAGAUGUAACGGGGCUAAACCAUGCACCGAAGCUGCGGCAGCGACACUGUGUGUUGUUGGGUAGGGGAGCGUUCUGUAAGCCUGCGAAGGUGGCCUGUGAGGGUUGCUGGAGGUAUCAGAAGUGCGAAUGCUGACAUAAGUAACGAUAAAGCGGGUGAAAAGCCCGCUCGCCGGAAGACCAAGGGUUCCUGUCCAACGUUAAUCGGGGCAGGGUGAGUCGACCCCUAAGGCGAGGCCGAAAGGCGUAGUCGAUGGGAAACGGGUUAAUAUUCCCGUACUUGGUGUUACUGCGAAGGGGGGACGGAGAAGGCUAUGUUGGCCGGGCGACGGUUGUCCCGGUUUAAG